This 309-nucleotide long non-coding RNA is filed under the name Vicia faba (fava bean). Lineage: Eukaryota; Viridiplantae; Streptophyta; Magnoliopsida; Fabales; Fabaceae. The record is from RNAcentral.
AUGAGAUUGAGUUCCACGCAUAUGCAAGCUAGAAAGAUGCUAUUUGCUGCUAUUCCAUCUAUUUGUGCAUUAAGUUCGAAUAAGAUAUCAAUCUAUAAUGAAGAAAUGAUAGUAGCUCGUUGUUUUAUAGGCUUCAUCAUAUUCAGUCGGAAGAGUUUAGGUAAUACUUUCAAAGUAACUCUCGACGGGAGAAUCCAGGCUAUUCAGGAAGAAUCGCAGCAAUUCCCCAAUCCUAACAAAGUAGUUCCUCCGGAAUCUAAUGAACAACAACGAUUACUUAGGAUCAGUUUUGAAUUUGUGGCACCGUAG